This 397-nucleotide ribosomal RNA is filed under the name uncultured bacterium. RNAcentral describes it as "bacterial SSU rRNA". It matches the Rfam family "Bacterial small subunit ribosomal RNA", at positions 64 to 507 of the family's 1533-position model. The record is from RNAcentral.
GAGCGCCGUAGCAAUACGGAGCGGCAGACGGGAGAGUAACACGUGGGAACGUGCCCUUCAGUUCGGAACAACCCAGGGAAACUUGGGCUAAUACCGGAUACGUCCGUAAGGAGAAAGAUUUAUCGCUGAAGGAUCGGCCCGCGUCUGAUUAGCUAGUUGGUGGGGUAACGGCCCACCAAGGCGACGAUCAGUAGCUGGUCUGAGAGGAUGAUCAGCCUCACUGGGACUGAGACACGGCCCAGACUCCUACGGGAGGCAGCAGUGGGGAAUAUUGGACAAUGGGCGCAAGCCUGAUCCAGCCAUGCCGCGUGGGUGAUGAAGGCCCUAGGGUUGUAAAGCCCUUUCGGCGGGGAAGAUAAUGACGGUACCCGCAGAAGAAGCCCCGGCUAACUUCGUG